RNAcentral lists this transfer RNA (73 nucleotides) under Camelus ferus (Wild Bactrian camel). It matches the Rfam family "tRNA". Rfam says of the family: Transfer RNA (tRNA) molecules are approximately 80 nucleotides in length. Lineage: Eukaryota; Metazoa; Chordata; Mammalia; Artiodactyla; Camelidae. The record is from Rfam by way of RNAcentral.
GAGGGUGUAGCUCAAGUGGCAGAGCGCAUGCUUAGCAUGCACGAGGUUCUGGGUUCAAUCACCAGUACCUCCA